RNAcentral lists this long non-coding RNA (460 nucleotides) under Brassica napus (rape). RNAcentral describes it as "long non-coding RNA (BNAP_LNC017568)". The record is from RNAcentral. Lineage: Eukaryota; Viridiplantae; Streptophyta; Magnoliopsida; Brassicales; Brassicaceae.
UAGAGCUUGCUGCAGUUGGAGUUUCAAUUGCUUUGUUUAACCAAGUUUCAAGAAUCGCUAUCUUUCCACUCGUUAGCAUCACAACUUCCUUUGUAGCAGAGGAAGAUGCUUGUAGUUCUGAGGAAAACACAAACCAAGAUUAUAAAGAAUGUAUUGAAACUGGUAUUAACAACACAAAGGAGGAAACUCAAGAACUGAUUCCUGGAAACAGUACGUAUAUUUAUAUAUAAUUAUAUAUAUUGUGAGUAUUUUAAUUUCUUGAAGUACUAAUCACUAGUUCUUUUGAUCUUUCCUUCAGUUUCUACACCAGAUGAAUCUAAAAACAGUUGCAGUAUCUUUAGUGUUAGUGACUCUCCAGUCAAGAAAAGAAACAUACCAUCAGCUUCUUCUGCUUUAAUCAUUGGAGCCAUUCUUGGCCUUCUUCAGGCUGUGUUUCUUAUAUCCUCAGCCAAACCUCUCU